Molecule: ribosomal RNA, 426 nt
Filed under: uncultured bacterium
Lineage: Bacteria
Description: bacterial SSU rRNA
Rfam family: Bacterial small subunit ribosomal RNA
Source: RNAcentral
UGGGGAAUUGUUCGCAAUGGGCGCAAGCCUGACGACGCAACGCCGCGUGGAGGACGAAGAUCUUCGGGUCGUAAACUCCUGUCGAGUGGGAAGAAUGGAUCGGGGCCGAACACGCUCCGGUAUUGACGGUACCACUAAGGGAAGCCCCGGCUAACUCCGUGCCAGCAGCCGCGGUAAUACGGGGGGGGCAAGCGUUGUUCGGAAUUACUGGGCGUAAAGCGAGUGUAGGCGGUUUCGUAAGUCAGGUGUGAAAGCCCCGGGCUCAACCCGGGAAGUGCACUUGAUACUGCGAGGCUAGAGUACUGGAGAGGUUGGUGGAAUUCUCGGUGUAGAGGUGAAAUUCGUAGAUAUCGAGAGGAACACCGGUGGCGAAGGCGGCCAACUGGACAGAUACUGACGCUGAGACUCGAAAGCGUGGGGAGCAAA